GCGAAGUACAGUACAUCGACUUCUUCUUCUCUCGUCGUGUGUUCUUGUUGAUCGGCAUCGCGCGUGACUGAGUGUGUUUCUGCUGGCACGAUGAGAGCUGUGGCCGCUGUGUUGUUCGUGUUGACCGCCGUGACGGUGGGUCAGACGGAGGGAGGCAUCGUUCGCGCCGUGAUCGAGGCGCCAAUGAGUGGAUGAGCCCUAAACUCCUACCAAGGGCUCAAGGUCUUCUUGAAUUGGCGCUUGGAAGGAUAUGGUUCAGUCGUUAGCAGGGUCGGUGCUAGCGGAACUCCCCGUCUCGUCUUCUAUGAUGAUGUAGAUCAGGAGUUGAAGGUUGAGGAGAUUACACGCCAAACCACCGAGGACGACAUCUCCAACUGGUUGGUCGGAGAAGGAUUCGAUCCAGAGCAGGCGAUGAAGGACGCCAAUGCUAUGCCCGAACAGGACGAGGAGCCCGAGGAGGAGAGGCAAGCUCGCGAGGCCGCCGGAGAGGAGGUUCCAGGCGACGAUGGUGGAAUGCCUGCCGUGGACGCCACGGGACAAGAUGACAGCACAGAACCAUACAUGUUCAAUGACGAGAUUCCGGACCAGGAACACGAGGAGUUGUAAUGUCACUCCGUCUUCUCUCAACCCGUAAUCAAAUUUUCGGCUAUAAUUUCAUUUUCUGUUGUUGUCCAAUCACUAUGUUGGUUUGGUUAAUUGUCCGGAGACUGUUGUGAUUUUCUAACCUCUCCGGUUUCUUUUUAUAUUAUUCUCUUUCUUCUACUUGCUGGUUGCUGCUGGAACAGCUGCAUGGUUGGCAUGGUCACCAUUCCAAUGACGUCCUGCGCCUCAAACAGUCACCGUACUGAUGGCCAGGAUUGAUGUAAUGCGAGUCCCGUUGCAGUGCCCCCCGGGCCGACCACCCGUGGGUGUGCUGUGCUGCGGUGGCUUGCUAUGGUGUAGCCGGCUGUGUGUGCUGUUCCAGUUCAUUGCGCUAUACCACACACUACACGCAGAGCUUGUCACACAUGCUUCUCUGCUGAUAGUGAUAAGCAUGGAA
Long non-coding RNA from Sycon ciliatum, 1039 nucleotides. RefSeq lists it as uncharacterized. Lineage: Eukaryota; Metazoa; Porifera; Calcarea; Leucosolenida; Sycettidae. The transcript has 5 exons. The record is from RefSeq and is a predicted model, not a curated record.